UACGGAGGGUGCAAGCGUUAUCCGGAUUCACUGGGUUUAAAGGGUGUGUAGGCGGGCAAUUAAGUCAGUGGUGAAAUCUCCAGGCUCAACCUGGAAACUGCCAUUGAUACUAUUUGUCUUGAAUAUCGUUGAGGUAGGCGGAAUAUAUCAUGUAGCGGUGAAAUGCUUAGAUAUGAUAUAGAACACCGAUUGCGAAGGCAGCUUGCUAAACGAUUAUUGACGCUGAGGCACGAAAGCGUGGGGAUCAAACAGG
RNAcentral lists this ribosomal RNA (253 nucleotides) under uncultured bacterium. RNAcentral's name for it is "partial 16S ribosomal RNA". It matches the Rfam family "Bacterial small subunit ribosomal RNA", at positions 524 to 776 of the family's 1533-position model. The record is from RNAcentral.